RNAcentral lists this ribosomal RNA (2893 nucleotides) under Acinetobacter baumannii. RNAcentral's name for it is "23S ribosomal RNA". It matches the Rfam family "Bacterial large subunit ribosomal RNA". Lineage: Bacteria; Pseudomonadati; Pseudomonadota; Gammaproteobacteria; Moraxellales; Moraxellaceae. The record is from RNAcentral.
AGUCAAGUAAUUAAGUGCAUGUGGUGGAUGCCUUGGCAGUCAGAGGCGAUGAAAGACGUGAUAGCCUGCGAAAAGCUCCGGGGAGGCGGCAAAUAUCCUUUGAUCCGGAGAUGUCUGAAUGGGGGAACCCACCUACUUUAAGGUAGGUAUUGCAACAUGAAUACAUAGUGUUGCAAGGCGAACGAGGGGAAGUGAAACAUCUCAGUACCCUUAGGAAAAGAAAUCAAUUGAGAUUCCCUCAGUAGCGGCGAGCGAACGGGGAUCAGCCCAUUAAGUUAUGUGUGUUUUAGUGGAACGCUCUGGGAAGUGCGAACGUAGAGGGUGAUAUUCCCGUACACGAAAGGGCACACAUAAUGAUGACGAGUAGGGCGAGGCACGUGAAACCUUGUCUGAAUAUGGGGGGACCAUCCUCCAAGGCUAAAUACUCCUGACUGACCGAUAGUGAACCAGUACCGUGAGGGAAAGGCGAAAAGAACCCCUGUGAGGGGAGUGAAAUAGAUCCUGAAACCGCAUGCAUACAAGCAGUGGGAGCACCUUCGUGGUGUGACUGCGUACCUUUUGUAUAAUGGGUCAGCGACUUAUAUUCAGUAGCGAGGUUAACCGUAUAGGGGAGCCGUAGAGAAAUCGAGUCUUAAUAGGGCGUUUAGUUGCUGGGUAUAGACCCGAAACCAGGCGAUCUAUCCAUGAGCAGGUUGAAGGUUGGGUAACACUAACUGGAGGACCGAACCCACUGUCGUUGAAAAGCCAGGGGAUGACUUGUGGAUAGGGGUGAAAGGCUAAUCAAGCCUGGUGAUAGCUGGUUCUCCCCGAAAGCUAUUUAGGUAGCGCCUCGGACGAAUACCAUAGGGGGUAGAGCACUGUUUCGGCUAGGGGGUCAUCCCGACUUACCAAACCGAUGCAAACUCCGAAUACCUAUGAGUACUAUCCGGGAGACAGACUGCGGGUGCUAACGUCCGUAGUCAAGAGGAAAACAAUCCAGACCGCCAGCUAAGGCCCCAAAAUCAUAGUUAAGUGGGAAACGAUGUGGGAAGGCAUAGACAGCUAGGAGGUUGGCUUAGAAGCAGCCACCCUUUAAAGAAAGCGUAAUAGCUCACUAGUCGAGUCGGCCUGCGCGGAAGAUGUAACGGGGCUAAAACUAUGUGCCGAAGCUGCGGAUGUAUACUUUGUAUACGUGGUAGGGGAGCGUUCUGUAAGCCGAUGAAGGUGUGUUGAGAAGCAUGCUGGAGGUAUCAGAAGUGCGAAUGCUGACGUGAGUAACGACAAAACGGGUGAAAAACCCGUUCGCCGAAAGACCAAGGGUUCCAGUCCAACGUUAAUCGGGGCUGGGUGAGUCGACCCCUAAGGCGAGGCCGAAAGGCGUAGUCGAUGGGAAAAUGGUUAAUAUUCCAUUACUUCUGUGUAAUGCGAUGAGAGGACGGAGAAGGCUAAAUCAGCCUGGCGUUGGUUGUCCAGGUGAAAGGAUGUAGGCAUGUAUCUUAGGCAAAUCCGGGGUACUCUAUGCUGAGAUCUGAUAGCAAGCUGUACUUGUACAGCAAAGUGGUUGAUGCCAUGCUUCCAGGAAAAGUCUCUAAGCUUCAGUUACACAGGAAUCGUACCCGAAACCGACACAGGUGGUCAGGUCGAGUAGACCAAGGCGCUUGAGAGAACUCUGCUGAAGGAACUAGGCAAAAUGGUACCGUAACUUCGGGAGAAGGUACGCUGUUGUUGGUGAUGGAACUCGCUUCCUGAGCUGACGACAGCCGCAGAAACCAGGCCGCUGCAACUGUUUAUUAAAAACAUAGCACUCUGCAAACACGAAAGUGGACGUAUAGGGUGUGAUGCCUGCCCGGUGCUGGAAGGUUAAUUGAUGGGGUUAGCGUAAGCGAAGCUCUUGAUCGAAGCCCCAGUAAACGGCGGCCGUAACUAUAACGGUCCUAAGGUAGCGAAAUUCCUUGUCGGGUAAGUUCCGACCUGCACGAAUGGCAUAAUGAUGGCGGCGCUGUCUCCAGCAGAGGCUCAGUGAAAUCGAAAUCGCUGUGAAGAUGCAGUGUACCCGCGGCUAGACGGAAAGACCCCGUGAACCUUUACUGCAGCUUGACACUGAACUUUGACCUUACUUGUGUAGGAUAGGUGGGAGGCUUUGAAGCUGGAACGCUAGUUCCAGUGGAGCCGUCCUUGAAAUACCACCCUGGUAAUGUUGAGGUUCUAACUCUGUCCCGUGAUCCGGGACGAGGACCGUGUCUGGUGGGUAGUUUGACUGGGGCGGUCUCCUCCUAAAGAGUAACGGAGGAGUACGAAGGUGCGCUCAGCGUGGUCGGAAAUCACGCGUAGAGUAUAAAGGCAAAAGCGCGCUUAACUGCGAGACCCACAAGUCGAGCAGGUACGAAAGUAGGUCUUAGUGAUCCGGUGGUUCUGUAUGGAAGGGCCAUCGCUCAACGGAUAAAAGGUACUCUGGGGAUAACAGGCUGAUACCGCCCAAGAGUUCAUAUCGACGGCGGUGUUUGGCACCUCGAUGUCGGCUCAUCUCAUCCUGGGGCUGAAGCAGGUCCCAAGGGUAUGGCUGUUCGCCAUUUAAAGAGGUACGCGAGCUGGGUUUAGAACGUCGUGAGACAGUUCGGUCCCUAUCUACCGUGGGCGCUGGAAAUUUGAGAGGAUCUGCUCCUAGUACGAGAGGACCAGAGUGGACGAACCUCUGGUGUACCGGUUGUGACGCCAGUCGCAUCGCCGGGUAGCUAUGUUCGGAAGGGAUAACCGCUGAAAGCAUCUAAGCGGGAAGCCUACCUCAAGAUAAGAUUUCCCUAGGACUUUAUGUCCUCUAAAGAGCCGUUCGAGACUAGGACGUUGAUAGGUUGGAUGUGGAAGCAUAGUGAUAUGUGAAGCUGACCAAUACUAAUUGCUCGUGAGGCUUGACUAU